This 497-nucleotide ribosomal RNA is filed under the name uncultured bacterium. RNAcentral describes it as "partial 16S ribosomal RNA". It matches the Rfam family "Bacterial small subunit ribosomal RNA", at positions 28 to 507 of the family's 1533-position model. The record is from RNAcentral.
GAUGAACGCUGGCGGCGUGCCUAAUACAUGCAAGUCGAGCGAACAGACGAGGAGCUUGCUCCUCUGACGUUAGCGGCGGACGGGUGAGUAACACGUGGAUAACCUACCUAUAAGACUGGGAUAACUUCGGGAAACCGGAGCUAAUACCGGAUAAUAUAUUGAACCGCAUGGUUCAAUAGUGAAAGACGGUUUUGCUGUCACUUAUAGAUGGAUCCGCGCCGCAUUAGCUAGUUGGUAAGGUAACGGCUUACCAAGGCAACGAUGCGUAGCCGACCUGAGAGGGUGAUCGGCCACACUGGAACUGAGACACGGUCCAGGCGCCUACGGGAGGCAGCAGUAGGGAAUCUUCCGCAAUGGGCGAAAGCCUGACGGAGCAACGCCGCGUGAGUGAUGAAGGUCUUCGGAUCGUAAAACUCUGUUAUUAGGGAAGAACAAAUGUGUAAGUAACUAUGCACGUCUUGACGGUACCUAAUCAGAAAGCCACGGCUAACUACGUG